Molecule: ribosomal RNA, 459 nt
Filed under: uncultured bacterium
Lineage: Bacteria
Description: bacterial SSU rRNA
Rfam family: Bacterial small subunit ribosomal RNA
Source: RNAcentral
UUGAACGCUGGCGGAAUGCUUUACACAUGCAAGUCGAACGGCAGCACGGGAGCUUGCUCCUGGUGGCGAGUGGCGAACGGGUGAGUAAUGCGUCGGAACGUACCGAGUAAUGGGGGAUAACGCAGCGAAAGCUGUGCUAAUACCGCAUACGCCCUGAGGGGGAAAGUGGGGGAUCGCAAGACCUCACGUUAUUCGAGCGGCCGACGUCUGAUUAGCUAGUUGGUGGGGUAAAGGCUCACCAAGGCGACGAUCAGUAGUGGGUCUGAGAGGAUGAUCCGUCACACUGGAACUGAGACACGGUCCAGACUCCUACGGGAGGCAGCAGUGGGGAAUUUUGGACAAUGGGGGCAACCCUGAUCCAGCCAUUCCGCGUGAGUGAAGAAGGCCUUCGGGUUGUAAAGCACUUUUAUGAGGGAAGAGCAAGGACUGUACCUCAUGAAUAAGGAUCGGCUAACUACG